Molecule: long non-coding RNA, 729 nt
Filed under: Homo sapiens (human)
Lineage: Eukaryota; Metazoa; Chordata; Mammalia; Primates; Hominidae
Description: HSALNT0152715
Source: RNAcentral
GAAAACAUUUAUACAAAUAAUUUCAUCCUCCACAUGACAUUUAGAAAAGUUUAGUCUGGCUGGGUACAGUGGCUCACUCCUGUAAUCCCAGCACUUUGGGAGGCCAAGGCAGGUGGAUCACCUUAGGUUAGGAGUUCGAGACCAGCCUGGCCAACAUGGUGAAACCCCGUCUCUACUAAAAAUACAAAAAUUAGCCCGGUGUGGUGGCGUACACAUGUAGUCCUAGCUACUUGGGAGGCUGAGGCAGCAGAAUCACUUGAAUCUGGGAGGCAGAGGUUGCAGUGACCCAAGAUCACGCCACUGCAUUCCAGCCCAGGAGACAGGGUGAGACUCUGUUUCAAAAAGAAAGAAAAGAGAAGAGAAAAGAUGAAAAGGAAAUGUUUAGUUUGAAAUUCCGUUACCGAAAGUUCUCGGGGGUUGGGGGAGGUGGGAGGCAAUAUCUUUUUGCUAUUAUAUUUCUUAUAGUGCAGUGUCAGUGAAACUAUGUCAUCCUUUGUAAAAUCAAUAAAAUCCCUGUCAAUUUAUCUGGCCAUUCGAUACUUUAUCAUCUAUAAUUUUUCAAGACAUCUAUUUGGUUGAAGUGUCUUCAUCAAUUGAUGGACUGUACAUCAGUCUGGUUUGGCAGUUUACAUUGUAUUUUCCUCUGAGUUUAUCUUCUCUGUUUCAUGGACUUCACUAGGGUCAGUGGUUCUUAAGUUGGAUGAUAAGAAACCCCAAUCUUCCAUACAG